RNAcentral lists this ribosomal RNA (278 nucleotides) under uncultured bacterium. RNAcentral's name for it is "partial 16S ribosomal RNA". It matches the Rfam family "Bacterial small subunit ribosomal RNA", at positions 399 to 691 of the family's 1533-position model. The record is from RNAcentral.
GCGUGAGGGAAGAAGGUCUUCGGAUUGUAAACCUCUGUCCUUGGGGACGAAAAAAAUGACGGUACCCAAGGAGGAAGCUCCGGCUAACUACGUGCCAGCAGCCGCGGUAAUACGUAGGGAGCAAGCGUUGUCCGGAAUUAUUGGGCGUAAAGGGUGCGUAGGCGGCAUGGUAAGUCAGAUGUGAAAUCCCCGGGCUUAACUCGGGUGGGUCAUUUGAAACUGCUGUGCUUGAGUGCAGGAGAGGAAAGCGGAAUUCCUAGUGUAGCGGUGAAAUGCGU